AAAACCUAUUUAGGAACAUGUUUCAGACCUUUUGGAGUUGGUUACACCAAAUAAAAAUAAAAAAUAAAAAAAAAAUAUUUGGGGUGUUCGGGCUUCCUGAAGGUAAUACCCGGGUAUAAGUUUUGGGGCUAUGGUAAGGUUUAAGGUUUUUGGCGUUAGGGUUAAAAUCACUGUCCAAAACCUUUGUAGGAACUCUUUUCCAACCUUUUGGAGUUAGUUAGACCAAAUAAAAAUGAAAAAUGAAAAAAAAAAAUAUUUGGGGUGUUUUGGCUUCCUGAAGGUAAUACCCGGGUAUUAAGAGUUGGGGCUAGGGUAAGGUUUAAGGUUUUGGCGUUAGGGUUUAAAUCACUGUCCAAAACCUUUGUAGGAACUGUUUUCCAACCUUUUGGAGUUAGUUAGACCAAAUAAAAAUUAAAAAUGAAAAAAUAUAUAUUUGGGGUGUUUGGGCUUCCUGAAGGUAAUACCCGGGUAUUAAGAGUUGGGGGUAGGUUAAGGUUUAAGGUUUUGGCGUUAGGGUUUAAAUCACUGUCCAAAACCUUUGUAGGAACUGUUUUCCAACCUUUUGGAGUUAGUUAGACCAAAUAAAAAUGAAAAAUGAAAAAAAAAUAUUUGGGGUGUUUUGGUUUCCUGAAGGUUAUACCCGGGUAUUAAGAUUUGGGACUAGGGUAAGGUUUAAGGUUUUGGCGUUAGGGUUUAAAUCACUGUCCAAAACGUUUGUAGGAACUCUUUUCCAACCUUUUGGAGUUAGUUAGACCAAAAAGAAAUGAAAAAUGAAAAAAAAAUAUUUGUGGUGUUCGGGCUUCCUGAAGAUAAUACAUGGGUAUUAGGUUUUGGGGCUAGGGAAAGGUUUAAGGUUUUUGGCGUUAGGGUUAAAAUCACUGUCCAAAACCUUUGUAGGAACUCUUUUCCAACCAUUUGGAGUUAGUUAGACCAAAUAAAAAUGAAAAAUGAAAAAAAAAUAUUUGGCUUGUUUUGGCUUCCUGAAGAUAAUGCACGGGUAUUAGGUUUUGGGGCUAGGGUAAGGUUUAAGGUUUUUGGCGUUAGGGUUUAAAUCACUGUCCAAAACCUUUGUAGGAACUAUUUUCCAAGCUUUGGGAGUUAGUUAGACCAAAAAGAAAUGAAAAAUGAAAAAAAAAUAUUUGGGGUUUUCGGGAUUCCUGAAGGUAAUACCCGGGUAUUAGGUUUUGGGGCUAGGGGAAGGUUUAAGGUUUUUGGCGUUAGGGUUAAAAUGACUGUCCAAAACCUAUUUAGGAACAUGUUUCAGACCUUUUGGAGUUGGUUACACCAAAUAAAAAUAAAAAAUAAAAAAAAUAUAUUUGGGGUGUUCGGGCCUCCUGAAGGUAAUACCCGGGUAUAAGUUUUGGGGCUAUGGUAAGGUUUAAGGUUUUGGCGUUAGGGUUUAAAUCACUGUCCAAAACCUUUGUAGGAACUCUUUUCCAACCUUUUGGAGUUAGUUACACCAAAUAAAAAUGAAAAAUGAAAAAAAAUAUAUUUGGGGUGUUUGGGCUUCCUGAAGGUAAUACCCGGGUUUUAAGAGUUGGGGCUAGGGUAAGGUUUAAGGUUUUGGCGUUAGGGUUUAAAUCACUGUCCAAAACCUUUGUAGGAACUGUUUUCUAACCUUUGGGAGUUAGUUAGACCAAAUAAAAAUGAAAAAUGAAAAAAAAAUAUUUGGGGUGUUUGGGCUUCCUGAAGGUAAUACCCGGGUAUUAAGAUUUGGGGCUAGGGUAAGGUUAAAGGUUUUGGCGUUAGGGUUUAAAUCACUGUCCAAAACAUUUGUAGGAACUCUUUUCCAACCUUUUGGAGUUAGUUAGACCAAAAAAUAAUGAAAAAUGAAAAAAAAAUAUUUGGGGUUUUCGGGAUUCCUGAAGGUAAUACCCGGGUAUUAGGUUUUGGGGCUAGGGGAAGGUUUAAGGUUUUUGGCGUUAGGGUUAAAAUGACUGUCCAAAACCUAUUUAGGAACAUGUUUCAGACCUUUUGGAGUUGGUUACACCAAAUAAAAAUAAAAAAUAAAAAAAAAAUAUUUGGGGUGUUUGGGCUUCCUGAAGGUAAUACCCAGGUAUUAGGUUUAGGGGCUAGGGGAAGGUUUAAGGUUUUUGGCGUUAGGGUUAAAAUCACUGUCCAAAACCUUUGUAGGAACUAUUUUCCAACCUUUUGGAGUUAGUUAGACCAAAAAAAAGAAAGAUGAAAAAAAAAUAUUUGGGGUUUUCGGGCUUCCUGAAGGUAAUACUUUAAUAAUAUUAGGUUUUGGGGCUAGGGUAAGGUUUAAGGUUUUUGGCGUUAGGGUUAAAAUGACUGUCCAAAACCUAUUUAGGAACAUGUUUCAGACCUUUUGGAGUUGGUUACACCAAAUAAAAAUAAAAAAUAAAAAAAUAUUUGGGGUGUUCGGGCUUCCUGAAGGUAAUACCCGGGUAUUAAGUUUUGGGGCUAUGGUAAGGUUUAAGGUUUUUGGCGUUAGGGUUAAAAUCACUGUCCAAAACCUUUGUAGGAACUCUUUUCCAACCUUUUGGAGUUAGUUAGACCAAAUAAAAAUGAAAAAUGAAAAAAAAAAUAUUUGGGGUGUUUUGGCUUCCUGAAGGUAAUACCCGGGUAUUAAAAGUUGGGGCUAGGGUAAGGUUUAAGGUUUUGGCGUUAGGGUUUAAAUCACUGUCCAAAACCUUUGUAGGAACUGUUUUCCAACCUUUUGGAGUUAGUUAGACCAAAUAAAAAUUAAAAAUGAAAAAAUAUAUAUUUGGGGUGUUUGGGCUUCCUGAAGGUAAUACCCGGGUAUUAAGAGUUGGGGCUAGGUUAAGGUUUAAGGUUUUGGCGUUAGGGUUUAAAUCACUGUCCAAAACCUUUGUAGGAACUGUUUUCCAACCUUUUGGAGUUAGUUAGACCAAAUAAAAAUGAAAAAUGAAAAAAAAAUAUUUGGGGUGUUUUGGCUUCCUGAAGGUAAUACCCGGGUAUUAAGAUUUGGGGCUAGGGUAAGGUUUAAGGUUUUGGCGUUAGGGUUUAAAUCACUGUCCAAAACGUUUGUAGGAACUCUUUUCCAACCUUUUGGAGUUAGUUAGACCAAAAAGAAAUGAAAAAUGAAAAAAAAAUAUUUGUGGUGUUCGGGCUUCCUGAAGAUAAUACAUGGGUAUUAGGUUUUGGGGCUAGGGAAAGGUUUAAGGUUUUUGGCGUUAGGGUUAAAAUCACUGUCCAAAACCUUUGUAGGAACUCUUUUCCAACCAUUUGGAGUUAGUUAGACCAAAUAAAAAUGAAAAAUGAAAAAAAAAUAUUUGGCUUGUUUUGGCUUCCUGAAGAUAAUGCACGGGUAUUAGGUUUUGGGGCUAGGGUAAGGUUUAAGGUUUUUGGCGUUAGGGUUAAAAUCACUGUCCAAAACCUUUGUAGGAACUAUUUUCCAAGCUUUGGGAGUUAGUUAGACCAAAAAGAAAUGAAAAAUGAAAAAAAAAUAUUUGGGGUUUUCGGGAUUCCUGAAGGUAAUACCCGGGUAUUA
This is a non-coding RNA of Xyrichtys novacula (pearly razorfish), 3475 nucleotides long. The record is from the annotation of a GenBank genome assembly. NCBI's taxonomy places the organism in Eukaryota, Metazoa, Chordata, Actinopteri, Labriformes, Labridae.